RNAcentral lists this long non-coding RNA (230 nucleotides) under Prunus persica (peach). Its description in RNAcentral is "long non-coding RNA (PPER_LNC003186)". Lineage: Eukaryota; Viridiplantae; Streptophyta; Magnoliopsida; Rosales; Rosaceae. The record is from RNAcentral.
UAAGUGCUAUCUUAUAGCUAAUUAUAAGACAAUUUUUGGCGUUGAAUAUUAAACUUAGAGGAUUCUCUCUAUUUUCCUAUCAACUUGGUAUUCUGCUGAAAUCAACAAGGCAUAGAACCCUUUUGCACUUGGUUAUUCUCAUCUAGAUAAUCAACAAGGAUUGAAGGUUUAUUGUUUUCUUUUUUAUUCUUCAUCAUUCUUGCUAUCACGCAUUGCAUCACCAAGGCUUU